AUUGAACGCUGGCGGCAUGCUUUACACAUGCAAGUCGAACGGCAGCGCGGGCUUCGGCCUGGCGGCGAGUGGCGAACGGGUGAGUAAUACAUCGGAACGUGCCCAGUAGUGGGGGAUAGCUCGGCGAAAGCCGGAUUAAUACCGCAUACGACCUGAGGGUGAAAGCGGGGGAUCUUCGGACCUCGCGCUAUUGGCGCGGCCGAUGGCAGAUUAGCUAGUUGGUGGGGUAAAGGCCUACCAAGGCGACGAUCUGUAGCUGGUCUGAGAGGACGACCAGCCACACUGGGACUGAGACACGGCCCAGACUCCUACGGGAGGCAGCAGUGGGGAAUUUUGGACAAUGGGCGAAAGCCUGAUCCAGCAAUGCCGCGUGUGUGAUGGAGGCCUUCGGGUUGUAAAGCACUUUUGGCGGGAACGAAAAGGACUGUGCCAAUACCACGGUUCGAUGACGGUACCCGCAGAAUAAGCACCGGCUAACUACGUG
RNAcentral lists this ribosomal RNA (484 nucleotides) under uncultured bacterium. RNAcentral describes it as "partial 16S ribosomal RNA". It matches the Rfam family "Bacterial small subunit ribosomal RNA", at positions 29 to 507 of the family's 1533-position model. The record is from RNAcentral.